This is a long non-coding RNA of Nerophis ophidion (straightnose pipefish), 5166 nucleotides long. RefSeq lists it as uncharacterized. The transcript has 3 exons. The record is from RefSeq and is a predicted model, not a curated record. NCBI's taxonomy places the organism in Eukaryota, Metazoa, Chordata, Actinopteri, Syngnathiformes, Syngnathidae.
ACCUACAUCAGACGGGUUAUAGCAUGUUUAUUAACAAACAAAAGUUAAAUAAUAUAAAACGACCCUAUUUUACUGCACAUAGACCUCAGUGAAAAACGUUUGGAGUUUGUACACCCCUGCUGUCCAACCACAUUCAUUAGGAAAAAUCAAUACAGAAAGUAAAUAAAUGGCAUCUGAUACAAAAAACAUACCUCCUCUGGAGCCGAGGUAGCAUGUAAUGGUUGUCGUGGGUCUAGUUAGGGAAAAGAGAACCUCUUUCAAAAUGAAUGUACUUCAUAAAUGAUGCACUUUGCAAUGAGGCACACACUUGAACUCACAUUCUUACCUGCCUGAUCCUGUGUCUUCUUCUUUAUGUUACAGGCCAAGAUGACAUUCACCAAGACGGAGAAGGCCAAAGCUGCACUUAAGAUGUAGACCAGCAACGUGUCACCUGCAGACGGAAGCGUUAUAUGCAGGUAAAGCACUCAGCAGCCACACCAACUAAGCCCCUCACGUUCAAAGGUCACGGUGGUGCCCUUCCCGAACAGGAUGUGUCCACACAUGGCCACGGCACAGUAGUAAGUCCCCACGUCUGCGUUGUUCAGUCCGCUCAUUGGUACCUCGUAAAAGCAGGUGCCGUUGGACCUCCUCCCUUCUGAAGCGUGAAUGAUCCCUGGGCCAGAUCCGGGCUCGUUCCGAAGCCAGUAAACCUGGUGUUGAUCCUUGUCACAGGACGACUUGGUUUGGACGGUGCAGCUCAGAGUCAAAUUACCUCCAUGGAGGAUGCUCUUGGAUGCUGGCUGCUUUACUGAUGCUGGGAUGUCCCAAGCGGAGGCUCUCACCUCCACUAAAAUACUCUCGUGGAAUUUACAGAUGGAAAUGUAAUAAAAUAUGCAGAAGUAGGUCCCAGAGUCUGACAUUUGGGCCUGUGAGAUGUUCAAGCAGCUCCUGUCGGAGAGAACAGUCAGGGUAAGGCGGGAGUGCUCCUCCGGUUGGCCAUGAAGUUUGCCCCUAUCGCCUUGGGUGUAGGAGCUGGCCAGCAGAUUGGGUUUCUUCCCAGGUGUUUGCUUGUACCAAUAGAAAAUGCUGAUGUCGAGUCCCGUGUUUAAACACUCCAAAGUCACGUUUUGGCCUGCUUGAACCGGCAGGUGGUGCAUGUACGACGACGACCUCUGUUCUUUUGUAUGAGCUAGUAAACGACAAGACAAAGUAAUGGAUGUUCAUUAUCAGUUUAGUAAGGACACCAAUCAAAAACUUUCCAGCUAAAUUCUAACUGCAAUCAUCACAGGAAUCUCCUUAGUGGAGGUAAUGGAGAGCGGGGGGGUACUCACCAAAUGUCCACAGGAGGAGACAAGUGACCACGCGGAGCGUCAUUUUGUUGUCUUAAUGAUGAAGGAGCAGCUUUGUGAGGUCUCAUACUGUCUUCACUCAUCGGCCAAUCAGAAGUCACUUCAGUGUGUGUGUAUGUGUGUGUGUUUCCGCGGAUGUAAACAUCAAUAUCUUAGCAGUCUCCCUUAUAACAUCCUGUUUUGUUCAUGCAAUGGUAUUUUCAAGUGUUUGUAACACACAUACACACUUACAGCAAUAUAGGAGCAGCAGGUAAAUAAAUACCUCUAACAAUUUACUGUAAUGGUAAUUACCGGUACAGUAUAUUGUGUGCAAAAAUGGCUGAAUCAUUAGCAUUUAUUUUUAUAUUUAAAUGAACCUUGGAUUUGCAAUGGUGUCAUGUAGGGCUGGGCAAUAUGGCCUUUUUUUUAAUAUCUUGAUAUUUUUAGGCCAUAUCGCGAUACACAAUAUAUAUCUCAAUAUUUUGCCUUGGACUUGAAUGAACACUUGAUGCAUAUAAUCACAGCAGUACGAUGAUUCUAUGUGUCUACAUUAAAACAUUAUUCUUCAUACUGCAUUAAUAUAGUCUACUUUUAAACUUUCAUGCAGAGAGGGAAAUCACAACUAAGUCAAUUGACCAAAACUGUAUUUAUUAAACAGUUAUUAAGCAAUGGCACAAACGUUCAUGUCAUUUCUAAAACCGAAAGUGCAAGAUUGUCAGAGACAUUUUAAGUGUUAAAUAAAAAAGAGCUGCAUAGUAGGAAAUUAAAUCGUGUUCGUCCUUCGCUAUGUGGUAGGUUUCUACGGAUGUUAUUAAAUUAUAUUUUUUUCAUACGGUGUUGAUGUGGAAAUGAUUCCCUUGGCAUUUUGAUGGUGUGACACCGAACGGAGAUGUUGAUUUUUUUUAAAUAGGUGGAGAAAUGUUGAAGUAAUAUGUUGAAAUGAGAAAAGGUAUUUUCGAAAUUUCGCGAAAACCGGGAAUUGUAUCAGUUCUGAUUAAGAGGAAUGUUUUGACGGUGGAACAGUUGAAAUGCGUUGAAAAAAUGACAUAUGGGACAUUUUUCCCAUUCAAAAUGAAUUGGCCAUUUUUCAAACUUACACCAUUUCCACAUUUUUCAACCUAUUCAAACCAUUCCCCCUUCAACAGAUUCCACCAUUCUGGAAAUUCAAACUUCGUCUUUUCAACUUCCAAAAAAUUCUAGGAUUUUCCAGGAUUCUUGCUGUUCCAAAGCCCCAUUUCCACCCUUUUUUCUGGCGACUAUCCCUCCGCAUUUUUCCAAUGCAUUUCCAUUGUUCCACCGCAACUGUUGCCUGAACAGCUAUUAAGGUACGACGCCAUCGGUGCCCAUUUUAACUAACGAACUGUAACUUGAAAGGGUUGCCUGAGCAUCUAUUAAGGUACGACCCAAUCGGCGCCCAUUUUAACUACCGAACCGUAACUUAAAAGGGUUUGCUGAACAGCUAUUAAGGCACGAUGCCAUCGGCGCCCACGUUAAUCCCCAAACCGUAACUUAAAAAGGGUUGGCUGAACAGCUAUUAAGGUACGAUGCCAUCGGCGCCCAUGUUGACUACUUAACAGUAACUUAAAAGAGUUGGCUGAACAGCUAUUGAGGUAUGACGCCAUCUGCGCCCAUUUUACUACACCACCAAACUGUAACUUAAAAGUGGGCAGGCCAUCACUAAUGUUGCCGCAAGGCACAGCACGCGUUGGACUGCCUGGCCGCCGGGCAGGCCGCUUUUACCACUUAUUACAGGAAAUUCAUUAAGGAUUCAGCUCUUUGUAAUUUUACAUUUAAUCAGGUUGUGUCUUCUGCCAAGGCAUCUAUUGACGUCUUGAAGAAUUUUUCAAUCCAAUUUGUCUGAAUGAUCACACAAGUCAUGAAAUUUAAAAGUUCAAGGCUUUUAUCUGAACUGAACUUUGUCAGACUUCUUUACUGUCAAUGACUUUUUGAAGAAUCAAUCAAAACCACAAGUCAAAUGACAAAUCCAGUUUGCAAUGUCACCUUUCAACAGAACUUUGUUUGGUCCUAUUGCUCUAAUAUGUUUAUUAUCUGGGAGAUUGACACAGGCAUUUAACUUUUCCACACACCAUGCUGAAUCACGGUUUAAAUCAUAGUCCAUGUUAACUUCCAAACCGUAACUUAAAAGGGUUAAGCCUUUAAGAUACGACCUAGUUGGCGCCCAUGUCAAGUACUGAACUGCAACUUAAAACAUCUUUUAAGGUACGAUGCAAUUGGUGCCCAUUUCAACACCGAACCGUAACUUAAAAGGGUUGGCUGAACAAUAGUGAUGGGUCCUGCAACAGCGAUGCAUCGGCGCAUGCGUCAAGCUCAUAAAGCGAAACCCUGUGUCGGUGCGCGUACCGCUUUUAGAAAGUCACGUGACCGAUCAUAAGCUGUUUUGGUUACAUGACUGAUACGCAAACUGUGUCGCACUGGCACGCCACCCUAUGUUUAUAAGGAAGUGCAUUUGUCAACGAGAUGCUGCUGCCAACAGAAUCGCCGCACUUCUGUCGUUUUUUAUAAAUUUAUCGUCGUCGGAGAUCAUGGAGCAGCCUCCGGCAAAAAAAAAAAAGAUUUCUGCCGUGUGGGAAUAUUUUGAUCUUACUGUAUAUCGGAAAAAAAGGUAUGUGUGUUAAUUUCCUUGUCGUUUCAUCCUGUUCUCUCAAAGUUUCCACUUGAUCUAUUAGAAUUCAAAAUCUCUUCAAAAUGAUUCUUAGUGUAAAAUUAAUAUUUUCUGCAGGUUAAAUGUCGCAUUUGUAGGACAGGAUUGUCGUACAUAUACAAAUCCACCUCCUCAAUGCUGAGGCAUUAUAGGGCCAGGCAUGACAAUGAAAUUACAGAGACACCCGGGAUAAACUCAGGUAUACAGCCAUACAACUUCCUCAGGUUUUUUUUUGAUAAUUAUUUCCCUACUUCUUUAUCUCCUUUUUAACCAUUAAGCUACCAGGAAGCAGAUGCUGGAUGAGGCUCUGCUGAAAUGUAUUGUCAAUAACUGCCAGCACCACAGCAUCGUGGAGAGUGAAAGGUUCAGGGAACUGGUGCAGGUCCUUGAGACAUCAUGUUUUGCCUACCAGAAAGACCAUCAAAAAAAUGCUGGUGCAAAAAUAUGAGGAAGAACGGGAACGAGUGAAAUUGGAAGUACAGCAAGCUGUGGUAAUAACCUUUGGAAACAUCUGGAUAUGGAAGUGGGAAGGCAGACAAAAAACUCUACUGCAGAUGCCAUUCAAGACGUCCAACGUUACCUGGCAGAGGGAAAUGUAGCUAGGUCCCAGGCAUACUUGCCAACCCUCCCGGAUUUUCCGGGAGACUCUCAAAAUUCAGCGCCUUUCCCGAAAACCUCCCGGAAGAAAUUUUUUCCCAAAAAUCUCCCGAAAUUCAGCGGAGCUGGAGGCCACGCCCCCUAUAGUUCCAUGCGGACCUGAGUGGGGACAACCUGUUUUCACGUCCGCUUUCCCACUAUAUAAACAGCUUGCCUGCCCAAUCACGUUACAACAUCUACGGAUUUUAAUAAAAAAACUGCACACACAAGGAGAUGAAGCAGAAGAACGAGGAAGUUACAUCCAUGGCGACGCCGUCUGUAAUAGAGUGAUUCUAUGUUGUCUGUCGCCAUCUCCUGGUGAAUGUUGGCUAUAGCGUUAUGGGGUUGCUUUUUGAUUGGCCAACAAUUUACGUGGUGUUGUGCACCUGACGGCAAGUGACUCUCGCCAGUACGCAAAUGACAGAACAAAGGUUACUCAAAUAGUGAAAGUUAAGUGUUGUUUUUUUUUAGUAACCAGCAAGCACAGUACAGUUAGUAGAACAACUGUGUUUUUAUUACUGUGUAUUUGAUAGGUGCCGUCUGAAAUUCAACCAUUUUUUA